Sander lucioperca (pikeperch) is the source of this 5713-nucleotide RNA transcript. It is a transcript of the gene named microtubule-associated tumor suppressor 1 homolog, with no coding region annotated. NCBI's taxonomy places the organism in Eukaryota, Metazoa, Chordata, Actinopteri, Perciformes, Percidae. The transcript is spliced from 19 exons. The record is from RefSeq and is a predicted model, not a curated record.
ACACACACACACACACACACACAGCAGUGAUGGGAUAAAAUACGACGCAGUCAUGAACUUGCAGUGCAGCGAGGACUGUGGAGGUUGACAGCCAGCCAAGUAGCCUACAUGUCAGUCUGAAGCGAGGAGUGUGAGCGAGCUUCCAUAAUUAUUAGCUGGAUGUUUUUUUUUUUUUUUUAAGCCUGAGAAGAAGGAGACGGAAGAAUGUUUUCAACAGCAGACUCCCAAAAUGUGAACAUGCGAGGAUCAGGGCCCAUAAAUGAAUACCUUUCUAAAUGACAGUUCUACACUUGACAAGGACACAAUGACUUACAGCCCUUUUGGAAAUACUGCAGAAUUUUUGCACAGUGUUCAAAAUGUAUAAGGGGAUGGAUUGCAACUCAGACACAUACUAAAUAUAUGAUCAAAACAUAGGUAAAGAAAUCCAGAGGAAAAGAAAAACUGCCCCACAGAGGAUGGAUUGGACAUUCUAUCAAAUGUCAAAAUAGAGAGUAUAAAGUGGUAUAAAGAGGAUUAAAGCUAAAUAGCUGUAAAGAGCACUGCCCAUAACAAUUCCAUAACCAGCAAGAACAACAGAAAGCCAUUGGGCAAAUAAAACCCUAUUAUGGAUUAGAAGGAAGUUACAACAUUGUAACGAGGGACUCAACCUCUGCCUUCCUGGCCAAGAUGAGUGUUUCUAAGCCCAGUGAGGGUUUCCUUCUCAGGGGGGAAAAUGGAUCCAGCAUGAGGCUCUCUCUUCACAGAGCAGGAGACCACAAUGGGAAUGCUUUACCUAUUGCCUCUUCCUCCUCCUCCUCUUCCUGCUCUUCCUCCUGUCUGGGGGAGUCGUCUCCUGAGUCCCUGCGGAGUCUGAGCAGCCUCAGUGGGGGCAGGACUGACAGCCCACUGGAUUAUGACAUGUUUGAGGUAACCCUGAUGGCGACAGAGAUGACCAAAACAGACAAAAUGACAGAUCUUGUAAUUUCAAAAUGGGUGCCAGAGAAGGAAGGUAAACCAGAUGACAAUGAUGAUGUCCCUGUGGGAAAGAUACAAACAGCAACAGAGCUAUCAGAAUCAAACGACAACUCUGAGUCUGUUUAUCUGGACGCAAACAGCUGUGAACACCGCCAAGACACCUGGGAUGACAAUGACAAACUGACUCUGGCCCUAUCCCAGGUGACAAACAGCAGUAGCCGUUACAAUAAUGAUGAACUCAGCAGUGGAAGCAGUAAUGGGCGAAGACAUGGCUCCUCAACACCAGACUCAGACGUAACAGAAAUCCCUGCUGAUGAUGAUGAAGAGGAGACUUUGUUUCUGUCUGUGAGCUCUGACAUGGGCGUGAGGAGAAGCAGCAUGACCCUUACAAGCUCAACUAGUCAACUCAGCGACACCCUGAUGAACCCAGGUGGCUCUGCUGUGACAACAGAGUGGGCGCUGGCUGUGAGUGGAGCUGAUGAUGAGAGCUCAGAGCUGGUGGUAGAAGGGUUUGGAGUUCGCUGUCCCCUUGGUCUACCUGUGGAAAGCCAGACAGAGCCUCCUGCUUCUGAGGACCUUUGUGAAACCACCCAGAUAUUGUCUUCAUCUCUCUCUUUUACCAAUCUAGAUAAGGAUCCUAAUGAAGUCCUAUCUCCUCCACCUGAGGAAGCUGAAAGAUGUGCAGUUAGCCCCAAGCCCUCCCGACCUACCACCAGUCGGCCAGCCAGAGCAGCAAAAACCAAACCAACCAUUGCUGCUUCAACUGCUCCAAAGACAGCUGUGUUCACAGCCAUCAGACCUCCCAGUGUGGAAACAAAAAGAGUUUCCAAACUGGAUCUAAAAGAUGUUGAGGCUAAAGUUGGAUCACGGUCCACCCUGUCUCUACCUAAAACACCCAACCAGCAGAACAAAUCUGCGCCAGCCAAUGGAAGGAGAGUUGUUACUAGGAAGGAGGAAGCACAGACUGGGGAUGGGGGUGAAAAGCAAAGGUCAUCUGCAGAUCCAGUCAAAGUGGCUGUGGUGCAGAAAUCCAUUAGAGUAAAGUGCAGUCACCUCAAAACCAACCACAAUGGCUCUGCUCAGCCAGAGAGGAAGAGUUUGGCCAUCAGUCAAACUCUCUCUACUUCAACCAGCUCUCUGGGGUCUGAGUUGGUUGAGGAAGGACCCCUGGACACUACCAAGAAAGCUGUCCAGGAAGUGCCUGAUAAACACGAAACUGGAGGUGUGGAGACUAAACAUCCAAGUGAAGAUGCUCACAGAGGUAUUGAAAAGGCUUUAAAGACGGAGGCUGCUGUGGAAAAACCAAGGAAUCCUAGCAGGAAAGUCUCCUCCAAGCUGGGGCCCAGUGCCAGGCAGCAGGGGAGAGGCACCAGAGUGGAUAAGGGGCCCUCAGGACCAGCCCCACCCCCAGGGUCAGUGACAGGGACUGGACCUCCAGGACAUGGGAGCCCUGGGCCCAGGCAAACCCAGAGUGAUGGCUCCACAUUGGGAGAGGGUGAACAGAGCGCUGGGGGUGGAUCUCCAACAAGGCAAAGCCAAAGUCAGAGCCAGGGUAUCCCCAAACCUCGCACCAAUGCAGAGCGAGCAUCCGUUUUGGCUGUUCCAGAUCCCGCAACGUCCAACUCCAAACCAACAGCUAAUCAGCAGCCAGCAUUGGGGGCGGUCAAACGAACUGCCACACCCGCCACAUCAAAACUUCCUGUGAAAGGAUUACCCACAAGCCUCAGUUCUUCAGCACUAGGAUCUGAGAUCAGUGGAGCCAUAAGCAAAGGAGCUCCAGCACCCACAGGGACCAAGCCAGAUGAGCAGCCCAGCAAAAGCACACUUCCUGUGGGCAACCAGUGCACGGCAAAGCCCCUCAUCUCCAGCACUGCAGCUACCACCAGUACCAAUACUCCUAGUGACGCAGUUCCCAGUGGCAUCACUGCCGCUCCAAAGCCUCCUGCACUGAGGAGCAGAGCUCUGUCACUGCAGGCCAGGACCACUGCUACAGGUCUGAAGACCCCGACAGUCACCAGCCACAACACAGCCAAGACAGCAGCUGCCAAUCAAAUAGCAGCAAAGACAGCUCCUGCUGCCAAUCAGGGCCUGACCAAGCAGGUAUCCCAGUAUCCCUUGCAAAGAAGCGGCUCAGCAAGACUCAGUCGACUGAACAGCGCAGUGGACAAAAACAAGCCUCGGGAGGCACCGGCAAGACCAACAAACACCAACAGCAGCUCACAGGUAGCAGCACCUGGAGGAGGAAACAGCCAGAAAAAGCACCAAGCUCCACCUGACCUGGUACCAGAGGUGGUGAAUGCUAAUGCAGCAGUGACAGCAGUUGUCCCAGUACCAGAAACAGAAACCACCAACACUGGGUCAGGCACCACUGGAGCCUCUUGUCUUGGGUUUAAAGCAAAAAACGGGUCAAGAUCCAGCCCCAAAACAGGAUCCCGCCUACAGAAUGCAUCCAAGCCUGGCACAGCCGGGACUGUUGUGGCAGACCGGAUGGUCACUGCUAAACAGAACCAGAACAAAGAGCAGGCAGAGAAGAAGAACCAGGCCAUCAACCAGCUGAGAAGGAUGCUUGUCCAGGGGAAUAAGAGAGUGGAGGCUCUGGCUACAGUCAUCCAGCAUCUCUUCACUGAGCGCGAGGAGGCUUUGAAGCAGAAGAAGGGGUUGUCACUGGAACUGGCAAACCUCCGAGAGGAGCUGGUUUCAUCAUCACAGUGCUGCGACCGACUGCAGAAGGAGAAGGAGGAAGUGCGCGUUAGCUUGGAGGAGGCCUUGAACAGGCAGGAGGAGCACCACAAGGAGGAGCUAGUGCAGCUGGAGGACAGAUUGAGGAGCUUUUACCAAACAGAGUGGGACAAAGUCCACCAGACAUACCAGGAGGAGGCUGACAAAUGCCGCAUGUUAAUGGAACAGCAGGUGGAGGAGCUGAGGAGCCAACAGGAAGCAGAGAGAAAGAAUCAGGAAGUGAGUCACAGCCAGCAUAUGGAGUCUCUCAAACUGGAGUAUGAGACCUCAACACAAGAGCUAAAGAGGAUCCAGCAGACAGACCUGGAGAACCUGAAUAAAACUCUGAAGGAGACUGAAACAUCUCUCUCUGAGAAAAUAUCUGAGCUGUCAGCAGAGAAGGCGGCUCUGAAUGAGAAGCUGAAAGCAGAGGAGGAGAGGAGGAAGCAAAUACUCACUGACAAAAAUCUGAAGGACUCCCACACAGUCUACCUGGAGCAGGAGCUGGAGAGUCUUAAGGUGGUGUUGGAGAUCAAGAACAACCAGCUGCACCAUAAGGAGAAGAAGCUCAUGGAAAUGGACAAACUAUUGGAGACUAAUGUGAAACUGCAGGAGUGUCUGACGAAGGUCCAACAGGAGAACGAGGACUACAAGGCCAGGAUGGACAAACACGCUGCUCUCUCCAAGCAGCUGUCCAGUGAACAGGCCAUUCUCCAGCAGACGCUGCAGAAAGAGUCCAAGGUCAACAAGCGUCUGUCCAUGGAGAAUGAGGAGCUGCUGUGGAAGCUGCACAACGGUGACCUGCUGGCGAGCCCGCGCCGCCUCUCACCCACCUCACCCUUCAACUCACCACGGAACUCUGCCUCCUUCACCACAACUGCACCUGUAUCGCCCAGAUAACCCCAACAACAAGCGACGACCCCUUCCUCCUCCUGCUUCUCCUCAUAACUUUUACAAGCCUCGCAGAGCUGUUCCAAAUACAGAGGAAGACUUCAGUCACAGCGGUGUUGGAUGUUAAUGAUAAACUUGUACAUUUGGAAUAAAUUGCAUUAAAGACGCUUAUUUUGAAAGAGAAAAGACAUUGCAGUGGCACCGAUGCACUUCAGUCUGAGAGUGGGACUGGCCUUGUUCUCUACCAAAUGCCUGGUUCUUCAACAAACCUUUCUUCUUUUUCUGAAGAAAACAUAAAUAAACAGGCACACCUCAGGGUCUGUACAUGGCGCCUCACUCUCGUUUUGACUAUUACUACCUUUUAUUUCUAAAAUGUUGUACAGUUUAAGUCAAAUGUGUAAAAAAAAAACAAAAAAAAACAGGAAGCUUUUCAGCUCUAGUAAGGAGACGCGUUGCUUCCAAACUUGCCUUCAGCCUAUUGGCCAUGAGGAACAUCAAUGAUGUUGCCUGCAGCUUUUCUGGAAUCACGUUGUCCCGGUAACGGCGCAAUUACCAGUGGCGGAUGUUCGAGGUCAGCGGCUCGUACCAUCAUAACUACGGAUUUGAUGGAGUACCACCAACCGUGCCAUGUGUACCACACCACCCCGUCGUCCGCCAUUGCUUGGUACGGCCCUUUGUAGUAGUGACCAUUCAAGUUGCCUGAAUCACACCUGUGAUGAGGAAGUAAAAGGAAAAAAAGAUUAGACAUAUAUACUCUCAUUUGUGUUUGUAUAUUGCCAUUUUUAACUUUUCUCCCUUUAUUUUCCAUUAUUAAUUUGCAUGUUGUUCUUAUAAUGUUGUUUGGCAUAAUUGAAUUGAAUGCCACAGUGAGACUGAAGCUGAAGUAUCAGUCUAUUACCUGCUGAACCACCAGCCUGACUUGCUGUGUCUGAUACACCUAGCGUCACCGUCAUUCUUGUGGUCAUAGGUGCUGAACUUGACCCCGCUUGAGCCCAAGCCUGGACUGGUCCAUUUCUGCCCAGCAAAGGGGGGCCCAUCAGCCAGGGCAUUCCCUGCAUUCCCAGUGUACUCGCUCACAUGUAAUUGGUACUGGUCCUUUCCGUGAACAGGGGAGUAAAAGCAAAGAGUUUUGAAUAAAUCGUUGAUGUUG